Molecule: ribosomal RNA, 458 nt
Filed under: uncultured bacterium
Lineage: Bacteria
Description: partial 16S ribosomal RNA
Rfam family: Bacterial small subunit ribosomal RNA
Source: RNAcentral
CCUACGGGAGGCAGCAGUGAGGAAUAUUGGUCAAUGGGCGAGAGCCUGAACCAGCCAAGUCGCGUGAGGGAGUACUGCCCUAUGGGUUGUAAACCUCUUUUGUCGGGGAGCAAAAGCCGGACGUGUCCGGCUGUGAGAGUACCCGAAGAAAAAGCAUCGGCUAACUCCGUGCCAGCAGCCGCGGUAAUCCGGAGGAUGCGAGCGUUAUCCGGAUUUAUUGGGUUUAAAGGGUGCGAAGGCGGAUUUUUAAGUCAGCGGUAAAAUCGUGGGGCUCAACCCCAUCCAGCCGUUGAAACUGGGGAUCUAGAGUGUGCGAGAGGUAUGCGGAAUGCGUGGUGUAGCGGUGAAAUGCAUAGAUAUCACGCAGAACCCCGAUUGCGAAGGCAGCAUACCGGUGCACAACUGACGCUCAGGCACGAAAGCGUGGGUAUCGAACAGGAUUAGAUACCCCGGUAGUC